UACGAGGGGAGCAAGCGUUGUUCGGAUUUACUGGGCGUAAAGGGCGCGUAGGCGGUCGUGACAGGUCACUUGUGAAAUCUCCGGGCUUAACUCGGAACGGGCAAGUGAUACUGUCGGACUAGAGUACAGAAGGGGCAACUGGAAUUCUCGGUGUAGCGGUGAAAUGCGUAGAUAUCGAGAGGAACACCUGCGGCGAAGGCGGGUUGCUGGGCUGAUACUGACGCUGAUGCGCGAAAGCCAGGGGAGCGAACGGG
This 254-nucleotide ribosomal RNA is filed under the name uncultured bacterium. Its description in RNAcentral is "partial 16S ribosomal RNA". It matches the Rfam family "Bacterial small subunit ribosomal RNA", at positions 524 to 776 of the family's 1533-position model. The record is from RNAcentral.